Molecule: ribosomal RNA, 253 nt
Filed under: uncultured bacterium
Lineage: Bacteria
Description: partial 16S ribosomal RNA
Rfam family: Bacterial small subunit ribosomal RNA
Source: RNAcentral
UACGAAGGGGGCAAGCGUUGGUCGGAAUUACUGGGCGUAAAGGGCGCGUAGGCGGCUUAUCAAGUCAGGCGUGAAAUUCCCGGGCUCAACCUGGGGGCUGCGCUUGAUACUGAUGAGCUUGAAUGCGGGAGAGGAUAGUGGAAUUCCCAGUGUAGAGGUGAAAUUCGUAGAUAUUGGGAAGAACACCAGUGGCGAAGGCGGCCAUCUGGCCCGGUACUGACGCUGAGACGCGAAAGCGUGGGGAGCAAACAGG